RNAcentral lists this ribosomal RNA (1511 nucleotides) under Salmonella enterica. RNAcentral's name for it is "partial 16S ribosomal RNA". It matches the Rfam family "Bacterial small subunit ribosomal RNA". The record is from RNAcentral. Lineage: Bacteria; Pseudomonadati; Pseudomonadota; Gammaproteobacteria; Enterobacterales; Enterobacteriaceae. RNAcentral also lists the same sequence under 2 other names.
UGAUCAUGGCUCAGAUUGAACGCUGGCGGCAGGCCUAACACAUGCAAGUCGAACGGUAACAGGAAGCAGCUUGCUGCUUUGCUGACGAGUGGCGGACGGGUGAGUAAUGUCUGGGAAACUGCCUGAUGGAGGGGGAUAACUACUGGAAACGGUGGCUAAUACCGCAUAACGUCGCAAGACCAAAGAGGGGGACCUUCGGGCCUCUUGCCAUCAGAUGUGCCCAGAUGGGAUUAGCUUGUUGGUGAGGUAACGGCUCACCAAGGCGACGAUCCCUAGCUGGUCUGAGAGGAUGACCAGCCACACUGGAACUGAGACACGGUCCAGACUCCUACGGGAGGCAGCAGUGGGGAAUAUUGCACAAUGGGCGCAAGCCUGAUGCAGCCAUGCCGCGUGUAUGAAGAAGGCCUUCGGGUUGUAAAGUACUUUCAGCGGGGAGGAAGGUGUUGUGGUUAAUAACCGCAGCAAUUGACGUUACCCGCAGAAGAAGCACCGGCUAACUCCGUGCCAGCAGCCGCGGUAAUACGGAGGGUGCAAGCGUUAAUCGGAAUUACUGGGCGUAAAGCGCACGCAGGCGGUCUGUCAAGUCGGAUGUGAAAUCCCCGGGCUCAACCUGGGAACUGCAUUCGAAACUGGCAGGCUUGAGUCUUGUAGAGGGGGGUAGAAUUCCAGGUGUAGCGGUGAAAUGCGUAGAGAUCUGGAGGAAUACCGGUGGCGAAGGCGGCCCCCUGGACAAAGACUGACGCUCAGGUGCGAAAGCGUGGGGAGCAAACAGGAUUAGAUACCCUGGUAGUCCACGCCGUAAACGAUGUCUACUUGGAGGUUGUGCCCUUGAGGCGUGGCUUCCGGAGCUAACGCGUUAAGUAGACCGCCUGGGGAGUACGGCCGCAAGGUUAAAACUCAAAUGAAUUGACGGGGGCCCGCACAAGCGGUGGAGCAUGUGGUUUAAUUCGAUGCAACGCGAAGAACCUUACCUGGUCUUGACAUCCACAGAACUUUCCAGAGAUGGAUUGGUGCCUUCGGGAACUGUGAGACAGGUGCUGCAUGGCUGUCGUCAGCUCGUGUUGUGAAAUGUUGGGUUAAGUCCCGCAACGAGCGCAACCCUUAUCCUUUGUUGCCAGCGGUCCGGCCGGGAACUCAAAGGAGACUGCCAGUGAUAAACUGGAGGAAGGUGGGGAUGACGUCAAGUCAUCAUGGCCCUUACGACCAGGGCUACACACGUGCUACAAUGGCGCAUACAAAGAGAAGCGACCUCGCGAGAGCAAGCGGACCUCAUAAAGUGCGUCGUAGUCCGGAUUGGAGUCUGCAACUCGACUCCAUGAAGUCGGAAUCGCUAGUAAUCGUGGAUCAGAAUGCCACGGUGAAUACGUUCCCGGGCCUUGUACACACCGCCCGUCACACCAUGGGAGUGGGUUGCAAAAGAAGUAGGUAGCUUAACCUUCGGGAGGGCGCUUACCACUUUGUGAUUCAUGACUGGGGUGAAGUCGUAACAAGGUAACCGUAGGGGAACCUGC